This 30-nucleotide non-coding RNA is filed under the name Rattus norvegicus (Norway rat). The record is from RNAcentral. Lineage: Eukaryota; Metazoa; Chordata; Mammalia; Rodentia; Muridae.
GCCAAACACCUGAGCUGUGAAGUCAUCAGC